GUUCCGUAGGUGAGCCUGCGGAAGGAUCAUUACAGUAGUCGCCUGGGUUGCCGCAAGGCCUCCCAUGUAACCUACCACCCUUUGUUUAUUACACUUUGUUGCUUUGGCGGGCCUGCCCUCGGGCUUCUGGCUCCGACCGGCGAACGCUUGCCAGUGGACCUAAACUCUGUUUGUGUAUACUGUCUGAGUACUAUAUAAUAGAUAAAACUUUCAACGACGGAUCUCUUGGUUCUG
This 234-nucleotide unclassified non-coding RNA is filed under the name plant metagenome. RNAcentral describes it as "partial contains small subunit ribosomal RNA, internal transcribed spacer 1, and 5.8S ribosomal RNA". The record is from RNAcentral.